GUUAGCCCCCCUUAACUCCUCCAUAGUGUUAUGACAAGAACUGAAAUUACUUUCAAGACACAGAUUUUAAGGAAGGACAGAGAUAAUGUUUCAUGUAAAAUGAGAGUAAAUGAACAGAAUGGGAAAGUAACCAAAGAACUAGAUCCCUCAUAAGUCUGUCUGUCUGUCCUAUCUGCUACUGAAUGUGGAGGUCUCUCAACUCUGGUUUCCAGCCCCUCACAGCUGAGGAGGUGCCUCUGUUAAACUCUUGUCUGCAUCUUCACAGAAUGGUGUGUCGCUGACUACCUGUGUGAUUUCGGGGAUGAGGCAGAUAAAACUGAAACUGAUCAAGUGGGUUGAUCACUGGGUAAUGACGACGUUGCUGUUGACUGUCAGGGUUCUCCCCAUGGUCGCUGUGGUUUGGCAAGAUGAGAAUGGUCUCGAGAAGAAAGCACCUAGCACUGCAUGAACAGCACUGCAGGGAGGUCACUGACUGCAAAAGGAGCCACAAAGUUUCAGGAGCCUUUGAGCUGAUGUGCACAUAGCCACUGCUUCCAGUUAAAAACAAAGACAGAAAACAAAAGGAAAAAAA
Molecule: long non-coding RNA, 571 nt
Filed under: Rattus norvegicus (Norway rat)
Lineage: Eukaryota; Metazoa; Chordata; Mammalia; Rodentia; Muridae
Description: long non-coding RNA NONRATT013303
Source: RNAcentral